CCUACGGGAGGCAGCAGUGAGGAAUCUUGGUCAAUGGGCGCUAGCCUGAACCAGCCAAGUAGCGUGAAGGAUGACUGCCCUCUGGGCUGUAAACUUCUUUUAUAUGGGAAUAAAGUGCAGUAUGUAUACUUCUUUGCAUGUACCUUAUGAAUAAGGAUCGGCUAACUCCGUGCCAGCAUCCGCGGUAAUACGGAGGAUCCGAGCGUUAUCCGGAUUUAUUGGGUUUAAAGGGAGCGUAGGCGGGUUGUUAAGUCAGUUGUGAAAGUUUGCGGCUCAACCGUAAAAUUGCAGUUGAUACUGGCAUCCUUGAGUACAGUAGAGGUAGGCGGAAUUCGUGGUGUAGCGGUGAAAUGCUUAGAGAUCACGAAGAACUCCGAUUGCGAAGGCAGCCUGCUGGACUGUAACUGACGCUGAUGCUCGAAAGUGUGGGUAUCAAACAGGAUUAGAUACCCGUGUAGUC
Molecule: ribosomal RNA, 460 nt
Filed under: uncultured bacterium
Lineage: Bacteria
Description: partial 16S ribosomal RNA
Rfam family: Bacterial small subunit ribosomal RNA
Source: RNAcentral